GUGAACGCUGGCGGUAGGCCUAACACAUGCAAGUCGAACGGCAGCACAGUAAGAGCUUGCUCUUACGGGUGGCGAGUGGCGGACGGGUGAGGAAUACAUCGGAAUCUACUUUUUCGUGGGGGAUAACGUAGGGAAACUCACGCUAAUACCGCAUACGACCUACGGGUGAAAGCAGGGGAUCUUCGGACCUUGCGCGAUUGAAUGAGCCGAUGUCGGAUUAGCUAGUUGGCGGGGUAAAGGCCCACCAAGGCGACGAUCCGUAGCUGGUCUGAGAGGAUGAUCAGCCACACUGGAACUGAGACACGGUCCAGACUCCUACGGGAGGCAGCAGUGGGGAAUAUUGGACAAUGGGCGCAAGCCUGAUCCAGCCAUACCGCGUGGGUGAAGAAGGCCUUCGGGUUGUAAAGCCCUUUUGUUGGGAAAGAAAGGCAGCAGGUUAAUACCCCGCUGUUCUGACGGUACCCAAAGAAUAAGCACCGGCUAACUUCGUG
This 491-nucleotide ribosomal RNA is filed under the name uncultured bacterium. Its description in RNAcentral is "partial 16S ribosomal RNA". It matches the Rfam family "Bacterial small subunit ribosomal RNA", at positions 29 to 507 of the family's 1533-position model. The record is from RNAcentral.